CGUCAGAUAAUGUGACAUUUUACCUUUUUUUGCGAGAAACGUGCCAGGAUGACGUUUUCCUAUGAUAUUAUGUUGGGUGAGCAGAGCAGACUGAACCAGACCCCCUGGAGACGUCCCCCUGGGGGCCGUAUGUGGCGGCCUUUGCUCUUACCUGGGAGAUGCCAGCCCAGACACCAGAGGGUCCUUCUGUGCCAACACUGGACUCCCCUGUGAUUGCCGCAACAGCUCCUGUCCUAUUGGAGUGACAAAACUAUAGGAAUACAUGGAAUACUGUAGCAGACUCCUAUGCAAAUUCAAAAGUGUACUUUAUAGCAGAGUCCAUAGCAACAAAAAAAUACUGCCUGCACCAACAUGUGUACAUCACCUCUCUGAUGCUUUCCAUAAAAAAAUGGGUGUUGCGCUGUCCAGCAGGAUCUGACAUGUUUGACACCACCUGCAUCAUAGGAGAGAACAUUUACAAAAGUGCAAAGGAUCUGCAUGGUAAGGCCAGUCAGGAGGUGUGGGAUUCUGUGAUUUUGUGAUUCUGACCCAGCAGGACCUGUUAACCAGCUCGGGGCCACAGCUUCACCGCAGAAACUAUAAACGGAGGAGGAGAUCUCAAUUUCAAGAAACGGGGGCUUUUUGAGGGUGACCCAUUUUGGCAAGGCAUUAGAGAUACACUGCUUGGACUUCCCUCCAAUGAGACACAGGACUGCCACCACCCCAAACCUGUUUUCUUCAGCACUGGAGAGCUGACCUGGGCCCUCCCGUGUCACACAAACAUUGUGGGCGUCCAGAUGAUCACCACAGGACCUGUGGCCAUUGUGGCUAUCCCUGGAGAAAUGACCACCAUGUCAGGGGAGGCCGUCAAGCACGAACUGGAGGCUCAGGGAACGUUCAGUAAUGCAGAGGUGGUCGUUGCUGGCCUGUGUAGCAUCUACUCAUUACAUCACCACCUAUGAGGAGUACCAGAUCCAGCGCUGCAGAGGAGCAUCCACCAUCUCUGCAUAUAUCCAGAAGUUUUGAGGCCAUUGCAGAGGUGAGGACCACAUACUGCACAGUAAACUGGGAUGACGUUCGCACAGAUGCAUCUUGGGAGACAAGGUUUAACUAGGUAAAGAAUGGAGCAGAGAGUAAUGUUAGCAUUGAGUGGCACAUCCUCCUGUCAGCCCAGACGUUCUCCUACCGGAUCAGACACUUUGCACACUACAAACAGAGGAAGGGGAUCACAGAUCCUGUGAUUCCAGUGAAUGGGGGUGUGUCAGAGCUCUUCAGAGUCUCCAAAAGAACGUAUUAUUACUAUCCGCUGGUCAUUGAGUAAGACCAAAUAGGGCACAUUAUAGUGUACACUUCUAGUGACCCACAUUUGAUGAUGUAUUAAUAUUCUCUAUUUCAAUGCAGUUCAAUGUAUGUACAGCAUUGAAGCACUAAAUAAGACCAGUGCUUCGAUACGCAACCGGCCUUUGGGUUGACGGGCAACAAGCCAUUGCGCUGAAUGGAGGCUGUGCUCAACAGGAUGACGGCGGAAAUAUGUUUUGAAUGUAGGGCAGCUUCAGUGCUCUUCCAUAGCUCAUCUCCCAUGGAAAUUAAGAUCAUUUGUUUAUGAUCAGUUUAUUCACGUUUUUUUGUGUGUGUAAUUAUGUACAGUGCUUAUUUUGAAUAGAAUUAAAUGAUUUAAAUAUUGUGGCACACUUCUUAGUUUUAUGUAGAAGGAAUAAAGGGAAGAAAGCUAGUCUCAAAAUGCAAUUGGUUCAUUUAUCACAGGCAAUUACAGAUCAUGAAACGUUAGAAUUACCAAG
Molecule: long non-coding RNA, 1778 nt
Organism: Salvelinus namaycush (lake trout)
Lineage: Eukaryota; Metazoa; Chordata; Actinopteri; Salmoniformes; Salmonidae
Exons: 9
Source: RefSeq, a predicted model, not a curated record